CCUACGGGCGGCAGCAGUGGGGAAUAUUGGACAAUGGGCGAAAGCCUGAUCCAGCCAUGCCGCGUGUGUGAAGAAGGCCUUCGGGUUGUAAAGCACUUUCAGUGGGGAAGAAAGCCUUGGGGCUAAUACCCUCGAGGAAGGACAUCACCCACAGAAGAAGCACCGGCUAACUCCGUGCCAGCAGCCGCGGUAAUACGGAGGGUGCGAGCGUUAAUCGGAAUUACUGGGCGUAAAGCGCGCGUAGGCGGUCUGAUAAGCCGGUUGGGAAAGCCCCGGGCUCAACCUGGGAACGGCAUCCGGAACUGUCAGGCUAGAGUGCAGGAGAGGAAGGUAGAAUUCCCGGUGUAGCGGUGAAAUGCGUAGAGAUCGGGAGGAAUACCAGUGGCGAAGGCGGCCUUCUGGACUGACACUGACGCUGAGGUGCGAAAGCGUGGGUAGCAAACAGGAUUAGAUACCCGAGUAGC
This 464-nucleotide ribosomal RNA is filed under the name Vreelandella stevensii. RNAcentral's name for it is "partial 16S ribosomal RNA". It matches the Rfam family "Bacterial small subunit ribosomal RNA", at positions 338 to 794 of the family's 1533-position model. Lineage: Bacteria; Pseudomonadati; Pseudomonadota; Gammaproteobacteria; Oceanospirillales; Halomonadaceae. The record is from RNAcentral.